GAUGAACGCUGGCGGCGUGCCUAAUACAUGCAAGUCGAGCGAAGCGGGGACGGGUGAGUAACACGUGGAUAACCUCCUAUAAGACUGGGAUAACUUCGGGAAACCGGUGCUAAACCGGCUACUUAUCGCUGGAUCCACGCUGCAUUAGCUAGUUGGUAAGGUAACGGCUUACCAAGGCAACGAUGCCUAGCCGACCUGAGAGGGUGAUCGGCCACACUGGAACUGAGACACGGUCCAGACUCCUACGGGAGGCAGCAGUAGGGAAUCUUCCGCAAUGGGCGAAAGCCUGACGGAGCCACGCCGCGUGAGUGAAGAAGGUCUUCGGAUCGUAAAACUCUGUUAGUAGGGAAGCGGUACCUAAUCAGAAAGCCACGGCUAACUACGUGCCAGCAGCCGCGGUAAUAC
This 405-nucleotide ribosomal RNA is filed under the name uncultured bacterium. Its description in RNAcentral is "partial 16S ribosomal RNA". It matches the Rfam family "Bacterial small subunit ribosomal RNA", at positions 28 to 526 of the family's 1533-position model. The record is from RNAcentral.